Molecule: non-coding RNA, 390 nt
Organism: Pelobates cultripes (western spadefoot toad)
Lineage: Eukaryota; Metazoa; Chordata; Amphibia; Anura; Pelobatidae
Source: the annotation of a GenBank genome assembly
CACUAAAAGACUAGAGAGCAGAAUCUCCCUCUCUUAUCCUAUUGAUCAUUGCUGAUGGCUCAGAGAGGGCAGGCUCGGGGGUCUGGAGAGAAAAGAUCCUGACCUUAGCCAUUCCUCAGACUGCAGAUCACCAAGGCAAUGAUACAGUGUAUCUGUAUCCUAUUCACACCCUUCCUGCAGUAUCUCACAUGCAUAGCACCUCAAUAGAUGUGGCUGCCUAGUGUAGCUCUUAUGCUGCUACACAAAUCAUCUCGUUAUUCUUUUCAUUACCCCUAGUGCUACCCAACAUACAUUGAUUUACAGCUGCAUCCUGGUAGGAGAUUUUAUUUUUCAAUGAAUUCCUGAAGACUUUAAAAAAAAAAAAAAUGGACUUACAGCAUGCUUGCAGGU